RNAcentral lists this transfer RNA (84 nucleotides) under bacterium. Its description in RNAcentral is "tRNA-Leu". It matches the Rfam family "tRNA". Rfam says of the family: Transfer RNA (tRNA) molecules are approximately 80 nucleotides in length. Their secondary structure includes four short double-helical elements and three loops (D, anti-codon, and T loops). Further hydrogen bonds mediate the characteristic L-shaped molecular structure. tRNAs have two regions of fundamental functional importance: the anti-codon, which is responsible for specific mRNA codon recognition, and the 3' end, to which the tRNAs corresponding amino acid is attached (by aminoacyl-tRNA synthetases). tRNAs cope with the degeneracy of the genetic code in two manners: having more than one tRNA (with a specific anti-codon) for a particular amino acid; and 'wobble' base-pairing, i.e. permitting non-standard base-pairing at the 3rd anti-codon position. The record is from RNAcentral.
GCGGCUGUGGCGGAAUGGUAGACGCGCUGGUUUUAGGUACCAGUUCUUUACAGAGUGAGAGUUCGAGUCUCUCCAGCCGCACCA